GACGAACGCUGGCGGUGUGCUUAACACAUGCAAGUCGAACGGUAAGGCCCUUUCGGGGGUACACGAGUGGCGAACGGGUGAGUAACACGUGAGUAACCUGCCCUCAUCUCUGGGAUAACAGUCGGAAACGGUUGCUAAUACUGGAUAUGAGCUUGCAAGGCAUCUUGUGGGUUGGAAAGAUUUUUUUGGUUGGGGAUGGACUCGCGGCCUUUCAGCUUGUUGGUGAGGUAGUGGCUCACCAAGGCUUCGACGGGUAGCCGGCCUGAGAGGGCGACCGGCCACAUUGGGACUGAGAUACGGCCCAAACUCCUACGGGAGGCAGCAGUGGGGAAUAUUGCACAAUGGACGGAAGUCUGAUGCAGCAACGCCGCGUGCGGGAUGACGGCCUUCGGGUUGUAAACCGCUUUCAAUUGUGACGAAGCUUUUUGUGACGGUAGCAGUAGAAGAAGCACCGGCUAACUACGUG
RNAcentral lists this ribosomal RNA (466 nucleotides) under uncultured bacterium. RNAcentral describes it as "partial 16S ribosomal RNA". It matches the Rfam family "Bacterial small subunit ribosomal RNA", at positions 28 to 507 of the family's 1533-position model. The record is from RNAcentral.